This 497-nucleotide ribosomal RNA is filed under the name uncultured bacterium. RNAcentral describes it as "partial 16S ribosomal RNA". It matches the Rfam family "Bacterial small subunit ribosomal RNA", at positions 28 to 507 of the family's 1533-position model. The record is from RNAcentral.
GAUGAACGCUGGCGGCGUGCCUAAUACAUGCAAGUCGAGCGAACGGACGAGAAGCUUGCUUCUCUGAUGUUAGCGGCGGACCGGUGAGUAACACGUGGAUAACCUACCUAUAAGACUGGGAUAACUUCGGGAAACCGUAGCUAAUACCGGAUAAUAUUUUGAACCGCAUGGUUCAAAAGUGAAAGACGGUCUUGCUGUCACUUAUAGAUGGAUCCGCGCUGCAUUAGCUAGUUGGUAAGGUAACGGCUUACCAAGGCAACGAUGCAUAGCCGACCUGAGAGGGUGAUCGGCCACACUGGAACUGAGACACGGUCCAGACUCCUACGGGAGGCAGCAGUAGGGAAUCUUCCGCAAUGGGCGAAAGCCUGACGGAGCAACGCCGCGUGAGUGAUGAAGGUCUUCGGAUCGUAAAACUCUGUUAUUAGGGAAGAACAUAUGUGUAAGUAACUGUGCACAUCUUGACGGUACCUAAUCAGAAAGCCACGGCUAACUACGUG